Long non-coding RNA from Sitophilus oryzae (rice weevil), 773 nucleotides. RefSeq lists it as uncharacterized. The transcript is spliced from 4 exons. The record is from RefSeq and is a predicted model, not a curated record. NCBI's taxonomy places the organism in Eukaryota, Metazoa, Arthropoda, Insecta, Coleoptera, Curculionidae.
CCAUAACAUAACCUAACAAAAAAACAACAAGUGAACCAUACCAUAAACGUAAACGCGCUUCAUCCAAACUAUUUUAAUAAUUAAAACAUGUUAAAACACUGAGAUAAAGUAAAGUAUCUAUUUUAAGGGGAGUGAAUUUAAUGUUCUAAAACCAUGAGACCUCGAAAAAAAAUAGGUUAUACUAAAAAUAUUUUAAAAUUCAACCAAAACAAAAGGAGCCAAAAUCUUAUUAAGUCAAUGUUACGCAAAUAUGACUUCAAUAUUGUACAUUAAACUGGAUUCAGACUAAAGUGAUUCUUUAUUAUCCUCUGUACAUCAUCAAAGUAGUAGUAUCUGGUAGUAUCAUUUCUGUUCUAAUAAGUGUAGUUCCAGUGCUGAAAUUUCCUACAAUAUAGUAUUUAUAUAGGUAUUUAUAAUUAUUAGGUUCGAGAAUUAUCUAGACUUGGUGGUUCAGGAGUAGCACAAAGUACAAGGAAAGCGCUUUAUAAGGUUCUGGGCAAUGAAAUUGCACAAAAAUAUUCUUGGGAUGGGGCCAAACAGAAGAGAAGUUUGAAAUCAUUGUUAGUGGCCAAAAGCAAUUUUAGACUCCAUGAAAGGUCAAUUUCAAGAGUCAAAAGAAACCGAAAUUAUCAAUAUAAUUAUAAAUUAUAAAAAAUAUGGCUUGUAAAAACAAAAGAAGGAUUAGAAAAUACAAAGGUAAGUUGUGCAAAUUUAUUUGAACAGUAUAAUUUUGCUGAUAUUAUUUCAGAAGGGUAGAUAAGAGAAUAUAGAAA